RNAcentral lists this non-coding RNA (734 nucleotides) under Pongo abelii (Sumatran orangutan). The record is from RNAcentral. Lineage: Eukaryota; Metazoa; Chordata; Mammalia; Primates; Hominidae.
CAGAAUCAACGGUUUCUGGGUCUGAGAUGUUGCAUACACCCUCUCAGUCCCUGUAUCCUGAGAUGGAGUCGCCUGAGAAUCCACAGCAAGUCCUAACCAGGGAUGGGUCUGGGUGAUUAAGGAAGGUUGGCUUCAGAACUGGGCCAGGGACACUGCUUUGCUUUUGCUGUUUUGAUCACCUCUCUGCCUGCAGGAGACAAGGAAAACCAAUGGGAACAGAUAGGGUCUGUCUCUCUUUGCCACCCAGGCCAGAGUGCAGUUGAUGCAGGGCAGGGGAGCCCCGCAGUGGAGCAUAGUGUGUCCGCAGCUGGUGGGUUCUUAGUCUCACUGACUUCAAGAAUGAAGCCGCGGACUCUCGCGAAGUGAGGCUUCUCCCCAGGACCAGCAUUCCGCGAAGGCAGCCCUUUUCUAGAUGGAGAAAAUAGAACCUGAAGGCACCCGUUUCCCUAAACUGCUCUCUCGCUCAUGUUUCUACAGGGCCUGGAGCUGGUACAAAAAACCUCCCUUCUUUCCCAAAUGGUCCCCAGCUUCCCCGUUCACUGAAGGCCCUGCAGUCAGGAACAGUCAGGACUUUGCACCCAGUUGCUGUGGGUGCUGGGCCGACCCGAUCCUUCCUCUUAUGUGAUUCAUGGACCGUCAGCAUUGCAUCACCUGUGAGCUUUUGGAAUUGAAGACUCUCAGGGCUCACCCGGGAGGACCUGCUGGGCCAGAAUCUGCAUUUUAACAAGAUGCCC